Molecule: long non-coding RNA, 793 nt
Organism: Dermacentor silvarum
Lineage: Eukaryota; Metazoa; Arthropoda; Arachnida; Ixodida; Ixodidae
Exons: 3
Source: RefSeq, a predicted model, not a curated record
UGUCGUUUCGGCUCAGUUGAUACGAUAUAUCUGCAAAAUAAACGCAUAAUUGGUCGAGUUAACACAUGUGAUCGUUAUAAUAAUGUAAUAGUAUAUCAUUGGUAUUCAUGGGUAGACGCGCACAAUCUGGCUAAAUAAGUGAGCAAUAACAAACUAGCAGCCGAGCCAAAGAAGGCUAGCUAGCAUUCGUAAAGAGAUCUCACAAUUUCUGCAGCAUUUUUUUCUGCUCUUCAGCCGCGUAGCUACGUAGGGUGGUCGACAUUUAGCGCUGAACACGCAGAGUCAAAAGCCCACUGCCGCACUUUUACCGUCACCUUAAGUACUACUGCCGCAUUUAGAAGCUGUCAUUUCCAGUAGCAGCGACUGCAACGACGAGGACAUCAGCCGUGCUUGUGGAAAGAUGUUUUCCCGGUAAUUUGGACAGCCCGGAAUUGCCGCAAGACAAAAAACGACGAUUCAAGCUGUGCUUCAUACAUUGAGAAAUAGAAACCCUUUUCUAGAGUCGACGGCGGCAACACAUACAGAGAAGUAAAAUGAAGACAUGGCAGGCUGCGCUGUUGAUUGUUACGGCAAGCUAUGUGUCUUCUAUUUGUGACGAAUGCUGGCGAGACAACGAAUGGAAAGUGAUAUGCUACACCUAUGAAGUACCGGAGGAUUUGUGCCCCGCAGUUCCUUGGACAUAUUGCAAUAAAAGAAGGCGGCGAUGCGUUUGCGGCUGCAAAUAUGGAACGUUUAGGAGGAUGGACUGGGCAUGCGUGCCGUAUAGAGAAUGCGGUGAGUAAAUCAGCGGACU